UUACUUACCUGGCAGGGGAGAUACCAUGACCACAAAGUUGGUUUCCCUGGGGCGAGACUCAUCCAUUACACUCUGGAUGUGCUGACCCCUGCAAUUUCCCCAAAUGUGGGAAAUGACUGCCUAAUUUGUGGUAGUGGGGGACUGUGUUCAUGCUCUCCAC
Molecule: small nuclear RNA, 160 nt
Organism: Talpa occidentalis (Iberian mole)
Lineage: Eukaryota; Metazoa; Chordata; Mammalia; Eulipotyphla; Talpidae
Product: U1 spliceosomal RNA
Exons: 1
Source: RefSeq, a predicted model, not a curated record